GACAGAGGAUGCAAGCGUUAUCCGGAUUUAUUGGGCAUAAAGCGCGUCUAGGCGGUUUAGUAAGUCUGAUGUGAAAAUGCGGGGCUCAACCCCGUAUUGCGUUGGAAACUGCUAAACUAGAGUACUGGAGAGGUAGGCGGAACUACAAGUGUAGAGGUGAAAUUCGUAGAUAUUUGUAGGAAUGCCGAUGGGGAAGCCAGCCUACUGGACAGAUACUGACGCUAAAGCGCUAAAGCGUGGGUAGCAAACA
This 250-nucleotide ribosomal RNA is filed under the name uncultured bacterium. RNAcentral's name for it is "partial 16S ribosomal RNA". It matches the Rfam family "Bacterial small subunit ribosomal RNA", at positions 524 to 774 of the family's 1533-position model. The record is from RNAcentral.